AUCGCUUCUCAGCAUUUGGGCUAAGAUCGAAUGUAGUAUCUGUUCUCACCAGUUUAAAUGGUAAACGAGAAGCUUAUGUCUUAUUGUAAUAAAUUACUAGACUUCUACAUUGUCACCAAGUAUUUAUAUCAUAGUGCGGUUUUUCUUAUAGUGUAGCACAUUUUUCCAUGUGAAAUGUUUUAA
Molecule: small nuclear RNA, 183 nt
Organism: Ailuropoda melanoleuca (giant panda)
Lineage: Eukaryota; Metazoa; Chordata; Mammalia; Carnivora; Ursidae
Gene: U2
Rfam family: U2 spliceosomal RNA
About the family: U2 is a small nuclear RNA (snRNA) component of the spliceosome (involved in pre-mRNA splicing). Complementary binding between U2 snRNA (in an area lying towards the 5' end but 3' to hairpin I) and the branchpoint sequence (BPS) of the intron results the bulging out of an unpaired adenosine, on the BPS, which initiates a nucleophilic attack at the intronic 5' splice site, thus starting the first of two transesterification reactions that mediate splicing.
Source: Ensembl